GCCUUAUCAAGAGCGGCGGAGGAACAGGUCCUGUGAAGCCCGGCAACCAUUCACACGAUAGUGAAACGGUGCUAAUUCCUGCGGAAGAGAUUCCGAGAGAUGAGGA
RNAcentral lists this non-coding RNA (106 nucleotides) under Ruminococcus sp. RNAcentral's name for it is "SAM-I sequence". It matches the Rfam family "SAM riboswitch aptamer (S box leader)". From Rfam's summary of the family: The SAM riboswitch is found upstream of a number of genes which code for proteins involved in methionine or cysteine biosynthesis in Gram-positive bacteria. The SAM riboswitch acts at the level of transcription termination control. RNAcentral also lists the same sequence under 1 other name. Lineage: Bacteria; Bacillati; Bacillota; Clostridia; Eubacteriales; Oscillospiraceae. The record is from RNAcentral.